Molecule: ribosomal RNA, 323 nt
Filed under: Sandonidae sp.
Lineage: Eukaryota; Cercozoa; Glissomonadida; Sandonidae
Description: SSU rRNA
Rfam family: Eukaryotic small subunit ribosomal RNA (bases 110-323)
Source: RNAcentral
GAUUUCUGGCUUGAAACAUUUGGCCGGCCACGGUUUCGUGUGUUAGUGCUUUGUGUUCUGGCCAUCCUUCCAAUCGCUAUUCACCUUUCUUCAUUGAUUGGUGAGUGGUAUUGGAUCUUUUACUUUGAAAAAAUUAGAGUGUUUCAAGCAGGCUUUAUGCUAUGAAUACAUUAGCAUGGAAUAAUAAUUUAGGACCUCGGUUCUAUUUUGUUGGUGUUCUGGAGCUGAAGUAAUGAUUGAUAGGGAUAGUUGGGGGUGCUAGUAUUCAGCGGCCAGAGGUGAAAUUCUCGGAUUCGCUGAAGACUAACUUAUGCGAAAGCAUU